CAACUAUGAUGAUGAUACAACUUCGGUCCGUGUUGCUGAAUCCUGAUUGUAUAGAAGUUCUGAGCGA
Molecule: small nucleolar RNA, 67 nt
Gene: SNORD18
Rfam family: Small nucleolar RNA SNORD18
About the family: U18 is a member of the C/D class of snoRNA which contain the C (UGAUGA) and D (CUGA) box motifs. It is encoded in introns of ribosomal protein L1 in Xenopus and human, and in introns of elongation factor 1 beta in yeast.
Source: Ensembl